Molecule: small nucleolar RNA, 68 nt
Organism: Neoarius graeffei (lesser salmon catfish)
Lineage: Eukaryota; Metazoa; Chordata; Actinopteri; Siluriformes; Ariidae
Source: RefSeq, a predicted model, not a curated record
UGGCUAUGAUGUCUUUCUUUAUCUGAACAACCAUGUGGUUUCAAAUGAGCUUUUUAACCCUGAGCCUA